UCCGACAGGAUGUCGGUGUAAGCUAUAGGGAAGCGAGUUUUUGUAAAAAACUCGUCGUCCAACAAGGUACAAGGACGUACCUUGUUGGACACUU
RNAcentral lists this small RNA (94 nucleotides) under Treponema maltophilum ATCC 51939. RNAcentral's name for it is "TD-2 RNA". It matches the Rfam family "TD-2 RNA". Rfam says of the family: non coding RNA found in Treponema denticola Lineage: Bacteria; Pseudomonadati; Spirochaetota; Spirochaetia; Treponematales; Treponemataceae. The record is from Rfam by way of RNAcentral.